Molecule: non-coding RNA, 177 nt
Filed under: Acidobacteriota bacterium
Lineage: Bacteria; Pseudomonadati; Acidobacteriota
Description: Acidobacteria bacterium 6S RNA
Rfam family: 6S / SsrS RNA
About the family: E. coli 6S RNA was the first non coding RNA to be sequenced, but its function was unknown until recently.
Source: RNAcentral
ACUCCCCUGCGCGGUUUGUGUUGGACGGGUAAUUUUGAGCCAACACUAUUUGAACGGGAGCCCGGGUCCGAUCGCGGUGAGCUUCCUCCUCGCGGGGAGGCCUGAAGCGACGGCAGGGUUCCCAAUCUGGUGCGCCAGGUUCAAAUAGAUCCCUCCUCACGGCCAAGCGGGGGUUUG